This 218-nucleotide unclassified non-coding RNA is filed under the name uncultured Rubrobacterales bacterium. RNAcentral's name for it is "contains 16S-23S intergenic spacer region". Lineage: Bacteria; Bacillati; Actinomycetota; Rubrobacteria; Rubrobacterales. The record is from RNAcentral.
UCCGGUUUGGCACCGGCAGUCCUCCCAGAGUCCUCGACUUGACUCGCUAGCAACUGGGAGCGGGGGUUGCGCUCGUUGCGGGACUUAACCCAACAUCUCACGACACGAGCUGACGACAGCCAUGCAGCAUCUGUGGUGCACCCUCGAAGGUCACACGUUUCCGUGCGCUUACAGCACCAUGUCAAGUCCAGGUAAGGUGGGGAUGACGUUCGUCUGAC